Molecule: ribosomal RNA, 511 nt
Filed under: uncultured bacterium
Lineage: Bacteria
Description: partial 16S ribosomal RNA
Rfam family: Bacterial small subunit ribosomal RNA
Source: RNAcentral
AUUGAACGCUGGCGGCAUGCCUAACACAUGCAAGUCGAACGGCAGCACAAUAAAGAUUUCGGUCUUUAUGGGUGGCGAGUGGCGGACGGGUGAGUAACGCGUAGGAAUCUGUCCUGGAGAGUGGGAUAACCCGAGGAAACUCGGGCUAAUACUGCAUGACAUUGAGAGAUCAAAAGCAGGGGACCGAAAGGCCUUGCGCUCUGGGGUGAGCCUACGUCGGAUUAGCUAGUUGGUGGGGUAAAGGCCUACCAAGGCGACGAUCCGUAGCUGGUCUGAGAGGAUGACCAGCCACACUGGGACUGAGACACGGCCCAGACUCCUACGGGAGGGAGCAGGGGGGAAUCUUGGACAAUGGGUGAAACCCUGAUCCAGCGAUGCCGCGUGUGUGAAGAAGGCCUUCGGGUUGUAAAGCACUUUAGUUGGGGAAGAAAGGUAGCGAGUGAAUAACUUUCUGCUGUGACGGUACCCACAGAAUAAGCACCGGCUAACUCUGUGCCAGCAGCCGCAGUAA